CGAACGUCAGUCUAUGUAUUCCUGUGUCUCCUACGUACUCCUUGUGUUUGGAUUAGUAGAAGACUGUGGUUUGAAGGUGUCUCCUCGUUUCGUGCUCCAAGUGAUGUGUGACAAUUUUACAUUGAUUGUAGAUUAUAAAUACAUUUAAUAUAAGGAUAUUUUUCAAGAGAGUGUCUGUAGGGUGGGCUUGUGAAGUGUGCAAGCGGCUUCCCACAAGCAUCUCUCACUGCUGCAAGGGCACAGUGGGUUGGGGCUUGGCAACAGUAUCCACGGCAACAGUUGCUGCAGCAGGCCGGUUAACACUUUACUGACAGAAAAUUGUUCUGAGCAUGUGCAAGAUGACCGCCCUCUGAUAGGAGAAGGUCAUGGUGAGGACACCGGUGAGAUUUUCCCUCUGUUGCCUCAUCCAGUCAUUGUCCUUCCACCAGUUCAAACACACCACAAGAAAAACAUGAAUAAUUCAGCAGCAUCUGUGUGCAUAUGCA
RNAcentral lists this long non-coding RNA (485 nucleotides) under Sinocyclocheilus grahami. Its description in RNAcentral is "lncRNA (ENSSGRG00000050680.1)". Lineage: Eukaryota; Metazoa; Chordata; Actinopteri; Cypriniformes; Cyprinidae. The record is from RNAcentral.